AUGAGCCCUUCCGCUCAGAACUUCACCACAGAUCUCGCACCUACAGAGCCGCCCUUCGGCAACCACAGCGUGGGGAGCGGUGCGGUUCACUCCAGCACGCAGCGCCACGGAACCCGACCGGACUGGAUCCUGUACGCGGUGCCCGGCUCCGCCUUCCUGCUGGGGCUCUGCCUCUUCUCGCUGGCCCUCAGAGUGAACCGGCAACGGCAGAGAGAGGGGCCAAGAACAGCGGUGAGCGGAUGGUGCUUUUCCCCUCUGGUGUCCCCCGCAGCGAUCGAGCGGCACGCCUUCCAGAGACAGAGGAAGAUGCAGAGGCAGGCGGAGCACAGCUACUCCAACAACAGGGCAAACGGGUUCUGCUCCAGCAGCCGGGACACCAGCGUGGACGUCCUCAAGGCCAGGUCAGUGGAGACCAUCUCCUACGAGAACGUGGAAGCGGUCAUCUACUCGAACCAGCAGGGUUUCAGCUACCGCGUCGCAAUGGAUGACAAAGAUGACUACCUCACCCCGGACCACUGUGACGCCACCAACCCGCCGGACCGCCAAACCAACACCGAUGGAGAGUCCUACGAGAACAUGUACGCGCAGCCACGCAGGGCCACGGGCACCGGCAGCGCGGAAGAAGACGAUUAUGUCAACGCUGAGUCAGGCAAGCCGGCGGCACUGGAGGACUAUGAGAAGGAGGAGGAGGAGGACCAGGGGGACUACCUGUGCCCUGGAAAGGAAGACACAGACGGAGAGUCCUAUGAGGACAUGGACGGCACGGUAGCCCUGCGGAGAGCCCACGCGGUGACCUGUCACGAGGAAGAAGAUUCCUACGAGAGGAUGGACAGCGUCAAUCCAUGGAGCCUCGGAGGCGCUGACAGCGAGCAGCAUGCCAGGAGAGACAAGUGCGACUCGAGGAGGAGACUGUGA
RNAcentral lists this long non-coding RNA (915 nucleotides) under Scleropages formosus (Asian bonytongue). Its description in RNAcentral is "lncRNA (ENSSFOG00015028972.1)". Lineage: Eukaryota; Metazoa; Chordata; Actinopteri; Osteoglossiformes; Osteoglossidae. The record is from RNAcentral.